UACACACCUAGUGGCAAGUCGCGGGGUCGAUCAAGUUGGUCAUCGCGUUCAAGUCAAGGACGAAGGAUUUUUUGGCGGCGUUGCAUACGUUGGAUCGCAUCUUUUUGCGAGCGUAAAAUGGAUCGGUGUAGUGCUAGAGAUGAAGCGGUUGGGAAGAACGACGGCAGCGUGCAGGGAAAGAGAUACUUUGAUUAAUUGUCAUGACAACUUUGGCAUCUUUGUGCGGCAAUGACUGUUUCAAAACGAAGAGACUUAAAUAAUGGAGAUAUGCAAACUUCUGUAGGAGCAGAUGUCAGAAUGCAAGAGCAGAUGGUCAAUGUAUCAGUCUGAUCUACGCAGUUGAAGCAGGCAAGAAAGGACCCGAAAGAAGCUCAAGAAGCAAUUUAAAAAGGCAUGCAAGGAUUGAAGAGGAAUCCAGGAUGGAAUAUGUGACUGAGUCAGUCAAAGUGGAGCUGUUGGAACACCAAAAUGCAAUGCUAAGAGAUGCUCUUGUGAGAUGUGAUGAACGAAGGGAUUCUUUUGUGAGGCUCGAGGUUUCAGUCAGACAAAAUGUCUCGGUAAAGGAAAUGGUCAUUUGUACAAGCUGUUGGAUGAUCAGUCAAGGCAAUUUCUCAAGCAAUACAACAGACAGCACAACAUUCAGAUAAAGGCUAUCCUGUUAGAGCAUGGCUGGACACUUCCUGUUUGGCUACAGAAUAUAGAAUGAAAAUUAGAAUUUUGUUUUUUUAAAAAUUUAUUUAUACGUUUAUGUA
Molecule: RNA transcript, 752 nt
Organism: Corticium candelabrum
Lineage: Eukaryota; Metazoa; Porifera; Homoscleromorpha; Homosclerophorida; Plakinidae
Exons: 4
Source: RefSeq, a predicted model, not a curated record